AUGAGUUAGGGUCCUCCGGGCCCGACCUCCAACCCUUUGUUUAGCUACCAUGUUGCUUUGGCGGGCCCGUCUUUAACCGGACCGUCGGGGGUUUUUCAACCUCUGGCCAGUGCCCGUCAGUAGCCUACCACAAAUACUUUUUAACCAUGUUAUAUCUGAAAAUAGUUAAAAUAAACUA
This 178-nucleotide unclassified non-coding RNA is filed under the name uncultured Cladophialophora. RNAcentral's name for it is "sequence contains ITS1". Lineage: Eukaryota; Fungi; Ascomycota; Eurotiomycetes; Chaetothyriales; Herpotrichiellaceae. The record is from RNAcentral.